RNAcentral lists this ribosomal RNA (245 nucleotides) under uncultured Bacteroidota bacterium. RNAcentral's name for it is "uncultured Bacteroidetes bacterium partial 16S ribosomal RNA". It matches the Rfam family "Bacterial small subunit ribosomal RNA", at positions 524 to 768 of the family's 1533-position model. Lineage: Bacteria; Pseudomonadati; Bacteroidota. The record is from RNAcentral.
UACGGAGGAUGCAAGCGUUAUCCGGAUUUAUUGGGUUUAAAGGGUGCGCAGGCGGGCUGUUAAGUCAGCGGUGAAAUGUCCCGGCUCAACCGGGGCACUGCCGUUGAUACUGGCAGCCUAGAGUACAGACGGCGCCGGCGGAAUGUGUCAUGUAGCGGUGAAAUGCUUAGAUAUGCCACAGAACACCGAUCGCGAAGGCAGCUGGCGAGGCUGGGACUGACGCUCAGGCACGAAAGCGUGGGGAU